CCAAGGAGUCUAACAUGUGCGCAAGUCAUUGGGUCUUGUUUAAGCCCAAAGGCACAAUGAAAGUGAAGGCCGGCUCGGUCGGCUGCGUUGGGAUUCCGCCCUCGACGGCGGACGCACCAACGGCCCGUCCCAGUCGCUGCGUCGACGGGGCGGAGUGAGAGCGUGCACGUUGGGACCCGAAAGAUGGUGAACUAUGCCUGGGCAGGACGAAGCCAGAGGAAACUCUGGUGGAGGUCCGCAGCGAUUCUGACGUGCAAAUCGAUCGUCAGACCUGGGUAUAGGGGCGAAAGACUAAUCGAACCAUCUAGUAGCUGGUUCCCUCCGAAGUUUCCCUCAGGAUAGCUGGCGCUCGGAGGAAGCAUUCUCAUCCGGUAAAGCGAAUGAUUAGAGGCCUUGGGGCCGAAACGACCUCAACCUAUUCUCAAACUUUAAAUGGGUGAGAAGUCCGGCUUGUCUCGACUGAAGCCCGGACGUGA
Molecule: ribosomal RNA, 476 nt
Filed under: Stylocellus sp. DNA101510
Lineage: Eukaryota; Metazoa; Arthropoda; Arachnida; Opiliones; Stylocellidae
Description: eukaryotic LSU rRNA
Rfam family: Eukaryotic large subunit ribosomal RNA
Source: RNAcentral